Molecule: ribosomal RNA, 1388 nt
Filed under: uncultured prokaryote
Description: partial 16S ribosomal RNA
Rfam family: Bacterial small subunit ribosomal RNA
Source: RNAcentral
GCAAGUCGAGGGGUAACAGGAGAGCUUGCUCUCGCUGACGACCGGCGCACGGGUGAGUAACGCGUAUGCAACCUACCCAUAACUGGGGGAUAGCUUCCGGAAACGGAAAUUAAUACCCCAUAGUAUUAUAAUACCGCAUGGUAUAAUAAUUAAAGUUCCGACGGUUAUGGAUGGGCAUGCGUGCCAUUAGUUUGUUGGUGAGGUAACGGCUCACCAAGGCUAUGAUGGUUAUGGGGUCUAAAAGGAUGGUCCCACACACUGGUACUGAGACACGGACCAGACUCCUACGGGAGGCAGCAGUGAGGAAUAUUGGUCAAUGGGCGCAAGCCUGAACCAGCCAUGCCGCGUGCAGGAAGACGGCCCUAUGGGUUGUAAACUGCUUUUAUAUAGGAAGAAAAUGCUCUACAUGUAGAGCACUGACGGUACUAUAUGAAUAAGCACCGGCUAACUCCGUGCCAGCAGCCGCGGUAAUACGGAGGGUGCAAGCGUUAUCCGGAUUUAUUAGGUUUAAAGGGUGCGUAGGCGGAAACUUAAGUCAGUGGUAAAAGGCAGCAGCUAACUGUAGAACUGCCAUUGAUACUGAAGGCCUUGAGUAUAGUUGAGGUAGGCGGAAUGUGUAAUGUAGCGGUGAAAUGCUUAGAUAUUACACAGAACACCGAUUGCGUAGGCAGCUUACUAAGCUAUAACUGACGCUGAUGCACGAAAGCGGGGGGAGCGAACAGGAUUAGAUACCCUGGUAGUCCACGCCGUAAACGAUGAUCACUCGUUGUUGGCGAUUCAUCGUCAGCGACUAAGCGAAAGCAUUAAGUAAUCCACCUGGGGAGUACGUUCGCAAGAAUGAAACUCAAAGGAAUUGACGGGGGCCCGCACAAGCGGAGGAACAUGUGGUUUAAUUCGAUGAUACGCGAGGAACCUUACCUGGGCUUAAAUGUAGAGUGCAUUAUUUGGAAACAGAUAUUUCCUUCGGGACUCUUUACAAGGUGCUGCAUGGUUGUCGUCAGCUCGUGCCGUGAGGUGUCGGGUUAAGUCCCAUAACGAGCGCAACCCUCAUUGCCAGUUGCCAUCACGUAAAGGUGGGGACUCUGGUGAAACUGCCGGUGUAAACCGCGAGGAAGGUGGGGAUGACGUCAAAUCAGCACGGCCCUUAUGUCCAGGGCUACACACGUGUUACAAUGGCCAAUACAAUGGGCAGCCACCUGGCAACAGGGAGCAAAUCCACAAAAUUGGUCUUAGUUCGGAUCGGAGUCUGCAACUCGACUCCGUGAAGCUGGAUUCGCUAGUAAUCGUACAUCAGCAAUGGUACGGUGAAUACGUUCCCGGGCCUUGUACACACCGCCCGUCAAGCCAUGGAAGUUGGGGGUGCCUGAAGUCCGUAACCGCAAGGAUCG